UUGGCUACAAGGGUGUCCAAUUUGGGACCAGAACCGGGAACCAUCCCAAAACUGUCCCGUUAAAACCUAGUACCGGACCACCCCAUUAAUAAAUGGGACGAUACUGGAAUCUGAUUUUGGUACCGAAUAAUAAAUGGGAUGGGACGGUUCU
Telopea speciosissima is the source of this 151-nucleotide long non-coding RNA. RefSeq lists it as uncharacterized. NCBI's taxonomy places the organism in Eukaryota, Viridiplantae, Streptophyta, Magnoliopsida, Proteales, Proteaceae. The transcript is spliced from 3 exons. The record is from RefSeq and is a predicted model, not a curated record.